AUCGAACGCUGGCGGCAGGCCUAACACAUGCAAGUCGAGCGGAUGAAGGGAGCUUGCUCCUGGAUUCAGCGGCGGACGGGUGAGUAAUGCCUAGGAAUCUGCCUGGUUGUGGGGGAUAACGUCCGGAAACGGGCGCUAAUACCGCAUACGUCCUGAGGGAGAAAGUUGGGGAUCUUCGGACCUCACGCUAUCAGAUGAGUCUAGGUCGGAUUAGCUCGUUGGUGGGGUAAAGGCCUACCAAGGCGACGAUCCGUAACUGGUCUGAGAGGAUGAUCAGUCACACUGGAACUGAGACACGGUCAAGAGGCAUAAGGAAGGCAGCAGUGGGGAAUAUUGGAGAAUGGGCGGAAGACUGAUGAAGCCAUGCCGCGGGUGUGAGGAAGGACUUCGGAUUGUAAAGAACUUUAAGUUGGGAGGAAGGGCAGUAGGUUAAUACGUUGCUGUUUUGACGGUACCAACAGAAGAAGCACCGGCUAACUUCGUG
Molecule: ribosomal RNA, 484 nt
Filed under: uncultured bacterium
Lineage: Bacteria
Description: partial 16S ribosomal RNA
Rfam family: Bacterial small subunit ribosomal RNA
Source: RNAcentral